RNAcentral lists this ribosomal RNA (119 nucleotides) under Triticum aestivum (bread wheat). Lineage: Eukaryota; Viridiplantae; Streptophyta; Magnoliopsida; Poales; Poaceae. The record is from RNAcentral.
GGAUGCGAUCAUACCAGCACUAAAGCACCGGAUCCCAUCAAAACUCCAAAGUUAAGCGUGCUUGGGCGAGAGUAGUACUAGGAUGGGUGACCUCUUGGGAAGUCCUCGUGUUGCAUUCC